This 629-nucleotide ribosomal RNA is filed under the name Psychrobacter sp. SS263-21. It matches the Rfam family "Bacterial small subunit ribosomal RNA", at positions 39 to 661 of the family's 1533-position model. The record is from RNAcentral. Lineage: Bacteria; Pseudomonadati; Pseudomonadota; Gammaproteobacteria; Moraxellales; Moraxellaceae.
GCGGCAGGCUUAUCACAUGCAAGUCGAGCGGAAACGAUGGGAGCUUGCUCCCAGGCGUCGAGCGGCGGACGGGUGAGUAACACUUAGGAAUCUACCUAGUAGUGGGGGAUAGCUCGGGGAAACUCGAAUUAAUACCGCAUACGUCCUACGGGAGAAAGGGGGCAGUUUACUGCUCUCGCUAUUAGAUGAGCCUAAGUCGGAUUAGCUAGAUGGUGGGGUAAAGGCCUACCAUGGCGACGAUCUGUAGCUGGUCUGAGAGGAUGAUCAGCCACACCGGGACUGAGACACGGCCCGGACUCCUACGGGAGGCAGCAGUGGGGAAUAUUGGACAAUGGGGGGAACCCUGAUCCAGCCAUGCCGCGUGUGUGAAGAAGGCCUUUUGGUUGUAAAGCACUUUAAGCAGUGAAGAAGACCUAACGGUUAAUACCCGUUAGCGAUGACAUUAGCUGCAGAAUAAGCACCGGCUAACUCUGUGCCAGCAGCCGCGGUAAUACAGAGGGUGCAAGCGUUAAUCGGAAUUACUGGGCGUAAAGCGAGCGUAGGUGGCUUGAUAAGUCAGAUGUGAGAUCCCCGGGCUUAACCUGGGAACUGCAUCUGAUACUGUUAAGCUAGAGUAGGUGAGAGGGGAA